AUUGAACGCUGGCGGCAUGCCUUACACAUGCAAGUCGAACGGCAGCAUAGAGAGCUUGCUCUCUGAUGGCGAGUGGCGAACGGGUGAGUAAAGCAUCGGAACGUACCGUGUAGUGGGGGAUAACGUAGCGAAAGUUACGCUAAUACCGCAUACGCACUGAGGUGGAAAGCAGGGGAUCGUAAGACCUUGCGCUAUACGAGCGGCCGAUGUCAGAUUAGCUAGUUGGUAGGGUAAAGGCCUACCAAGGCGACGAUCUGUAGCGGGUCUGAGAGGAUGAUCCGCCACACUGGGACUGAGACACGGCCCAGACUCCUACGGGAGGCAGCAGUGGGGAAUUUUGGACAAUGGGGGCAACCCUGAUCCAGCCAUGCCGCGUGGGUGAAGAAGGCCUUCGGGUUGUAAAGCUCUUUCGGCCGGGAAGAAAUCGCACAGGCUAAUACCCUAUGUGGAUGACGGUACCGGCAUAAGAAGCACCGGCUAACUACGUGCCAGCAGCCGCGGUAA
This 504-nucleotide ribosomal RNA is filed under the name uncultured bacterium. Its description in RNAcentral is "partial 16S ribosomal RNA". It matches the Rfam family "Bacterial small subunit ribosomal RNA", at positions 30 to 523 of the family's 1533-position model. The record is from RNAcentral.